GACGAACGCUGGCGGCGUGCUUAACACAUGCAAGUCGAACGGAAAGGCCCUGCUUUGGUGGGGUGCGCGAGUGGCGAACGUGUGAGUAACACGUGAGUAACCUGCUCUUGACUUUGGGAUAACUUCAGGAAACGGGCGCUAAUAGCGGAUAGGAGCUCCUUCUGCGUGGUGGGGGUUGGAAAGUUUCGGCGGUUGGGGAUGGACUCGCGGCUUAUCAGCUUGUUGGUGGGGUAGUGGCUUACCAAGGCUUUGACGGGUAGCCGGCCUGAGAGGGUGACCGGCCAAAUUGGGACUGGGAUACGGCCAGGCCUCCUCGGGGAGGAAGAAGUGGGGAAUAUUGAAAAAUGGGCGGAAGCCUGAUCAAGCACCGCCGCGUGGGGGAUGACGGCCUUCGGGUUGUAACCCGCUUCCGUCUGUGACGAAGCGUGAGUGACGGUAAUGGGUAAAGAAGCACCGGCUAACUACGUG
Molecule: ribosomal RNA, 468 nt
Filed under: uncultured bacterium
Lineage: Bacteria
Description: partial 16S ribosomal RNA
Rfam family: Bacterial small subunit ribosomal RNA
Source: RNAcentral